Molecule: ribosomal RNA, 302 nt
Filed under: uncultured bacterium
Lineage: Bacteria
Description: partial 16S ribosomal RNA
Rfam family: Bacterial small subunit ribosomal RNA
Source: RNAcentral
GCAGCAGCCACGGUAAUACGAAGGGGGCUAGCGUUGCUCGGAAUUACUGGGCGUAAAGCGUGCGCAGGCGGUUAUAUAAGACAGAUGUGAAAUCCCCGGGCUCAACCUGGGAACUGCAUUUGUGACUGUAUAGCUAGAGUACGGCAGAGGGGGAUGGAAUUCCGCGUGUAGCAGUGAAAUGCGUAGAUAUGCGGAGGAACACCGAUGGCGAAGGCAAUCCCCUGGGCCUGUACUGACGCUCAUGCACGAAAGCGUGGGGAGCAAACAGGAUUAGAUACCCCAGUAGUCCCUGUCUCUUAUAC